CUGGGAGCCAAGAGCACGAGGAGCUGGUGUCUGUGUCACAUUUGUACUUGCGGACGAUUAUAAAGCUUGGGACCUUCGUAAAAGUGAACUUUAUAAGCCAGAACGAACUUACCACCCCCCUACUGUGAAAUUUGGAAAUUCAACUACAUUCCAGGAUGACUUUGUUCCUCAGGAGAUAAAGCCUAGGCAAAGCUUUAAACCCUUCUCUGUGGUCAAACGUUCUACAGCCCCUUUUAAUGGUAUUACAAGUAAUCGCCUUGAUUAUAUACCUCAUCAGCUUGAACUCAAGUUUGAAAGGCCAAAAGAAGUUUACAAACCAACUGACCAACGCUUUGAGGAUUUCACAACUCACCGGUAUGACUUUUGGGGUCUUAUUUGGUGAAACUGCAAAACUCUGCAGACCUGUACACACCAGAGUGACCCAGAAUGCUCGGUUUGAAGGAAGCACUGAAUUCCGUGAAAGUUUUCAACCAUGGGAAAUCCCACGACCGGAGGUCAAGAAAGUACCAGAGUAUGUGCCUCCUACAGGUAGCAUGCUGUUAAACAGCACAAGCCAUCUUGACUAUGUUCCGUAUCAGGCCAACCGUGUUGUUCCCAUCAGGCCAGUUUCUCGUAGAAGAAGUAACAGUUUUCCUUUCCAAGGAAAAAGCACCAUGAAAGAUUUUCCAGCAUGGGAAAGUUGUCGUCAAGGACUUAUUAAGAAGCAGCAGCAGAUUCCCAACCCAUCUGGAAAAUUUGAUGGUUUGAGCACUUUCAGAUCUCACUAUUUGCAACAUGAAUUGAUUCCAACAGAGAGUUGCAAACCUUUAAAUAUUGCUUUUAAGAGUUCUGUUCCAUUUGAUGAUGUAACCAUGUACUCUGUAGAGUACACACCGAAAAAACAGGAAAUUUGCCCAGCUAGCUAUCCCUCUCCUCCAGGUUAUAUUUUUGAAAAUACAAAUUCCCAAGGUCAUAAAUUCUUCUGCAAGAUUACUCCCGCAGUGAAGGCCUUCUAAU
Molecule: long non-coding RNA, 996 nt
Filed under: Homo sapiens (human)
Lineage: Eukaryota; Metazoa; Chordata; Mammalia; Primates; Hominidae
Description: non-protein coding lnc-WDR73-15:1
Source: RNAcentral